UACGAGGGGGGCUAGCGUUGCUCGGAAUUACUGGGCGUAAAGGGCGCGUAGGCGGCACUGUUAGUCAGGCGUGAAAUUCCUGGGCUCAACCUGGGGACUGCGCUUGAUACGGCAGAGCUUGAGGAUGGAAGAGGGUCGCGGAAUUCCCAGUGUAGAGGUGAAAUUCGUAGAUAUUGGGAAGAACACCGGUGGCGAAGGCGGCGACCUGGUCCAUUACUGACGCUGAGGCGCGACAGCGUGGGGAGCAAACAGG
This 253-nucleotide ribosomal RNA is filed under the name uncultured bacterium. Its description in RNAcentral is "partial 16S ribosomal RNA". It matches the Rfam family "Bacterial small subunit ribosomal RNA", at positions 524 to 776 of the family's 1533-position model. The record is from RNAcentral.